RNAcentral lists this ribosomal RNA (490 nucleotides) under uncultured bacterium. RNAcentral's name for it is "partial 16S ribosomal RNA". It matches the Rfam family "Bacterial small subunit ribosomal RNA", at positions 30 to 507 of the family's 1533-position model. The record is from RNAcentral.
AUUGAACGCUGGCGGCAGGCCUAACACAUGCAAGUCGAACGGUAACAGGAAGAAGCUUGCUUCUUUGCUGACGAGUGGCGGACGGGUGAGUAAUGUCUGGGAAACUGCCUGAUGGCGGGGGAUAACUCCUGGAAACGGUAGCUAAUACCGCAUAACGUCGCAAGACCAAAGAGGGGGACCUUCGGGCCUCUUGCCAUCGGAUGUGCCCAGAUGGGAUUAGCUAGUAGGUGGGGUAACGGCUCACCUAGGCGACGAUCCCUAGCUGGUCUGAGAGGAUGACCAGCCACACUGGAACUGAGACACGGUCCAGACUCCUACGGGAGGCAGCAGUGGGGAAUAUUGCACAAUGGGCGCAAGCCUGAUGCAGCCAUGCCGCGUGUAUGAAGAAGGCCUUCGGGUUGUAAAGUACUUUCAGCGGGGAGGAAGGGAGUAAAGUUAAUACCUUUGCUCAUUGACGUUACCCGCAGAAGAAGCACCGGCUAACUCCGUG